UUCGUGAAUUAUGUUCAUGCCUGGUACCAGACGAGGCCAGAAGAGGACAAUGGAUUCCCUGGGACCGGAGUUACAGAUAGAGCUUCCAUGUGGGUGUGGAGAAACAAACCAAGUCUUCUAGAAGAACACCAGUUACUGUCUGCAGUUCUUCAUUUAGGUGUGGAACCUUGUGAAAUUUCCCUGUCCACAUUGGGAGAAGAGGAUGUAUAAGAAGACUGAAGGAAGGAAGAGAAGAGGAGUGUGGCGGGGAAGCUCACACAUCCUUGCUCUUACUGGAAGUAGGGAAACACACUGAAUAUUCUUAGGCACUUUCAUAUGACAUAUGUUUUGUAUUCUUCAUCUCAUGUGAACCUCACUGUUUCUACUUUGUGGAAAAAUUAAUCAACAUUGCUGAAGUGAAGUCCUUUGCCUGUGAAUAUACAAGUGAUAGGAAAUGGAAU
This is a long non-coding RNA of Peromyscus eremicus (cactus mouse), 440 nucleotides long. RefSeq lists it as uncharacterized. The transcript has 3 exons. Lineage: Eukaryota; Metazoa; Chordata; Mammalia; Rodentia; Cricetidae. The record is from RefSeq and is a predicted model, not a curated record.